This 84-nucleotide transfer RNA is filed under the name Salmo salar (Atlantic salmon). It matches the Rfam family "tRNA". From Rfam's summary of the family: Transfer RNA (tRNA) molecules are approximately 80 nucleotides in length. The record is from Rfam by way of RNAcentral. Lineage: Eukaryota; Metazoa; Chordata; Actinopteri; Salmoniformes; Salmonidae.
CUCCCUGUGGCUCAGUUGGUAGAGCAUGGUGUUUGCAAUGGUGUUUACAAUGCCAAGGUUGUGGGUUCGAUUCCCAUGGGGGGC